AACGCGAAGAACCUUACCCAGGCUCGAAAUGUAGAGGACGACUUCAGAAACGAAGUUUCCCGUAAGGGUCUCUAUAUAGGUGCUGCAUGGCUGUCGUCAGCUCGUGCCGUGAGGUGUUGGGUUAAGUCCCGCAACGAGCGCAACCCUUAUCGUUAGUUGCCAGCGGUUUCGGCCGGGAACUCUAACGAGACUGCCUGGGUUAACCAGGAGGAAGGUGAGGAUGACGUCAAGUCCGCAUGGCCUUUAUGUCUGGGGCAACACACGUGCUACAAUGGCCGGUACAGAAGGCAGCGAAACCGUGAGGUGGAGCAAAUCCUAAAAAGCCGGUCUCAGUUCGGAUUGUAGUCUGCAACUCGACUACAUGAAGUUGGAAUUGCUAGUAAUGGCGGGUCAGCUACACCGCCGUGAAUACGUUCCCGGGCCUUGUACACACCGCUCGCGA
RNAcentral lists this ribosomal RNA (442 nucleotides) under uncultured bacterium. RNAcentral describes it as "bacterial SSU rRNA". It matches the Rfam family "Bacterial small subunit ribosomal RNA", at positions 958 to 1399 of the family's 1533-position model. The record is from RNAcentral.